Molecule: ribosomal RNA, 372 nt
Filed under: uncultured organism
Description: bacterial SSU rRNA
Rfam family: Bacterial small subunit ribosomal RNA
Source: RNAcentral
CGUAGGGUGCGAGCGUUAAUCGGAAUUACUGGGCGUAAAGCGUGCGCAGGCGGUUUUGUAAGACAGGCGUGAAAUCCCCGGGCUCAACCUGGGAACUGCGCUUGUGACUGCAAGGCUAGAGUACGGCAGAGGGGGGCGGAAUUCCACGUGUAGCAGUGAAAUGCGUAGAGAUGUGGAGGAACACCAAUGGCGAAGGCAGCCCCCUGGGUCGAUACUGACGCUCAUGCACGAAAGCGUGGGUAGCAAACAGGAUUAGAUACCCUGGUAGUCCACGCCCUAAACGAUGUCAACUAGGUGUUGGGUGGGUAAAACCUUUUAGUACCGGAGCUAACGCGUGAAGUUGACCGCCUGGGGAGUACGGCCGCAAGGUUA